This is an RNA transcript of Populus euphratica (Euphrates poplar), 1358 nucleotides long. It is a transcript of the gene named probable 2-carboxy-D-arabinitol-1-phosphatase, with no coding region annotated. The transcript is spliced from 8 exons. Lineage: Eukaryota; Viridiplantae; Streptophyta; Magnoliopsida; Malpighiales; Salicaceae. The record is from RefSeq and is a predicted model, not a curated record.
GCAAAUUUAUCUGAUCAACAUUCACUAUAGUCCCCAGUCUGUAUUUCCUCGUCAAUGCAUCUAAACCACCAACUGAUAUGGUAGAGAGCCAAAUGGGACAUAAAAAAACGAAGAAGAACCAUUAAGACACACUUGGUUUUCGGACACAUCUUACUGCAAGAUGAUUUGUGGUGCUCUCACCUUCAGAGCUCCUCUUUCUUCAAGCUCUUCCUUCACUUGUGAUUCCAAAAGACCUGCUAAGCAUUCUGCCAGACUCAAAAUUCAAUGCUCAAAUUCUAGUCCGGACAUUCCUUUAACCACCGAGAAGAUUGUAAAUGACUCUUAUUUGACUGGCGGUGCAUAUGAUUUUGAUAGAGCAUCAACAUCACUUACUCAGAAGUUAUUAUCAUCUCCAAAGAAGGUUACUAUUGUAAGGCAUGGUCUUAGCUCUUGGAACAAAGAGAGUAGAAUUCAGGGAAGCUCAAACUUAUCUGUCUUAUCAGAAACUGGAGUGAGGCAAGCGGAGAGGUGUAGGAAAGCCUUGGGAAAUAUUUACUUUGAUCGGUGCUUUUCAAGUCCAAUAUCUCGUGCCAAGUCCACUGCCGAAGUCAUAUGGCAAGGGAGGGAAGAGCCACUGGUUUUUCUCGAUUCAUUGAAGGAGGCCCAUCUAUUUUACCUUGAAGGCAUGAAAAAUGUGGAUGCCAGGGAGAAAUAUCCAAAGGAGUACACAACAUGGAGAGAAGAUCCUGCUAAUUUUACUGUCAAUGGCAUCUACCCUGUGCGAAAGCUAUGGGGGACAGCUAGAGAAGCUUGGAAGGAAAUAUUGUUUUCGUCUGGAGAAAGCUUUUUGGUCAUCACGCAUAAGUCAAUAUUGAGGGCAUUGAUCUGUACAGCUUUGGGGCUAAGUCCAGAAAGGUUCCGUUCAAUUGAUGUAAAUAAUGGUGGCGUAUCUGUAUUCGCUUUCAACAAAAAAGGAGAAGCAAUGCUUCAAUCUUUGAACAUGACAGCUCACAUGUAUAAUGAUCAUACCUAUCUUUACUGAAACUUCAAGACUUCACUUUUUGGCGAGGAAGAAAAUUCUGCUGAAAGGAAACGCACACCAGAAACAGUGAUACAGUGCUCAUGGAAUGAUAAUGGGCAGAGUAAGUGAUGCAACUUAUGAAUCAUACCAGCUUCAUCUUUGUUUGGUUACCAUGAGGAGAUAAGGAUUGUAGUUUAGAAGUUGAAAAGGUGUAACGGAUGCAUAUUCUUAGCCCACGCUAUGGUCGCUUGUCCAUGUUAAAGCUUUUAUCUGAAUUCAUUAUGAGAAAACCUGCAUUACUGUGGAAUAGUAUUCCUGUAAAGCCCUUUCCAGAAUAUUCAUUUUCUCACUAUUCUCU